UUAAGCGACUAAGCGUACACGGUGGAUGCCCUGGCAGUCAGAGGCGAUGAAGGACGUGCUAAUCUGCGAAAAGCGUCGGUAAGGUGAUAUGAACCGUUAUAACCGGCGAUGUCCGAAUGGGGAAACCCAGUGUGAUUCGUCACACUAUCGUUAACUGAAUACAUAGGUUAACGAGGCGAACCGGGGGAACUGAAACAUCUAAGUACCCCGAGGAAAAGAAAUCAACCGAGAUUCCCCCAGUAGCGGCGAGCGAACGGGGAGCAGCCCAGAGUCUGAAUCAGCUUGUGUGUUAGUGGAACGGUCUGGAAAGUCCGACGGUACAGGGUGAUAGUCCCGUACACCAAAAUGCACAGGUUGUGAACUCGAAGAGUAGGGCGGGACACGUGGUAUCCUGUCUGAAUAUGGGGGGACCAUCCUCCAAGGCUAAAUACUCCUGACUGACCGAUAGUGAACCAGUACCGUGAGGGAAAGGCGAAAAGAACCCCGGCGAGGGGAGUGAAAAAGAACCUGAAACCGUGUACGUACAAGCAGUGGGAGCACCUUCGGGUGUGACUGCGUACCUUUUGUAUAAUGGGUCAGCGACUUAUAUUCUGUAGCAAGGUUAACCGUAUAGGGGAGCCGCAGGGAAACCGAGUCUUAACUGGGCGUUAAGUUGCAGGGUAUAGACCCGAAACCCGGUGAUCUAGCCAUGGGCAGGUUGAAGGUUGGGUAACACUAACUGGAGGACCGAACCGACUAAUGUUGAAAAAUUAGCGGAUGACUUGUGGCUGGGGGUGAAAGGCCAAUCAAACCGGGAGAUAGCUGGUUCUCCCCGAAAGCUAUUUAGGUAGCGCCUCGUGAAUUCAUCUUCGGGGGUAGAGCACUGUUUCGGCUAGGGGGUCAUCCCGACUUACCAACCCGAUGCAAACUACGAAUACCGAAGAAUGUUAUCACGGGAGACACACGGCGGGUGCUAACGUCCGUCGUGAAGAGGGAAACAACCCAGACCGCCAGCUAAGGUCCCAAAGUCAUGGUUAAGUGGGAAACGAUGUGGGAAGGCACAGACAGCCAGGAUGUUGGCUUAGAAGCAGCCAUCAUUUAAAGAAAGCGUAAUAGCUCACUGGUCGAGUCGGCCUGCGCGGAAGAUGUAACGGGGCUAAACCAUGCACCGAAGCUGCGGCAGCGACACUAUGUGUUGUUGGGUAGGGGAGCGUUCUGUAAGCCUGCGAAGGUGGCCUGUGAGGGUUGCUGGAGGUAUCAGAAGUGCGAAUGCUGACAUAAGUAACGAUAAAGCGGGUGAAAAGCCCGCUCGCCGGAAGACCAAGGGUUCCUGUCCAACGUUAAUCGGGGCAGGGUGAGUCGACCCCUAAGGCGAGGCCGAAAGGCGUAGUCGAUGGGAAACAGGUUAAUAUUCCUGUACUUGGUGUUACUGCGAAGGGGGGACGGAGAAGGCUAUGUUAGCCGGGCGACGGUUGUCCCGGUUUAAGCAUGUAGGCUGGUUAUCCAGGCAAAUCCGGAUAAUCAAGGCUGAGGUGUGAUGACGAGGCACUACGGUGCUGAAGUAACAAAUGCCCUGCUUCCAGGAAAAGCCUCUAAGCAUCAGGUAACAUUAAAUCGUACCCCAAACCGACACAGGUGGUCAGGUAGAGAAUACCAAGGCGCUUGAGAGAACUCGGGUGAAGGAACUAGGCAAAAUGGUGCCGUAACUUCGGGAGAAGGCACGCUGGUGUGUAGGUGAAGUCCCUGCGGAUGGAGCUGAGAUCAGUCGAAGAUACCAGCUGGCUGCAACUGUUUAUUAAAAACACAGCACUGUGCAAACACGAAAGUGGACGUAUACGGUGUGACGCCUGCCCGGUGCCGGAAGGUUAAUUGAUGGGGUUAUCCGUAAGGAGAAGCUCUUGAUCGAAGCCCCGGUAAACGGCGGCCGUAACUAUAACGGUCCUAAGGUAGCGAAAUUCCUUGUCGGGUAAGUUCCGACCUGCACGAAUGGCGUAAUGAUGGCCAGGCUGUCUCCACCCGAGACUCAGUGAAAUUGAACUCGCUGUGAAGAUGCAGUGUACCCGCGGCAAGACGGAAAGACCCCGUGAACCUUUACUAUAGCUUGACACUGAACAUUGAGCCUUGAUGUGUAGGAUAGGUGGGAGGCUUUGAAGCGUGGACGCCAGUCUGCGUGGAGCCAACCUUGAAAUACCACCCUUUAAUGUUUGAUGUUCUAACGUUGGCCCCUGACCGGGGUUGCGGACAGUGUCUGGUGGGUAGUUUGACUGGGGCGGUCUCCUCCCAAAGCGUAACGGAGGAGCACGAAGGUUAGCUAAUCCUGGUCGGACAUCAGGAGGUUAGUGCAAUGGCAUAAGCUAGCUUGACUGCGAGCGUGACGGCGCGAGCAGGUGCGAAAGCAGGUCAUAGUGAUCCGGUGGUUCUGAAUGGAAGGGCCAUCGCUCAACGGAUAAAAGGUACUCCGGGGAUAACAGGCUGAUACCGCCCAAGAGUUCAUAUCGACGGCGGUGUUUGGCACCUCGAUGUCGGCUCAUCACAUCCUGGGGCUGAAGUAGGUCCCAAGGGUAUGGCUGUUCGCCAUUUAAAGUGGUACGCGAGCUGGGUUUAGAACGUCGUGAGACAGUUCGGUCCCUAUCUGCCGUGGGCGCUGGAGAAUUGAGGGGGGCUGCUCCUAGUACGAGAGGACCGGAGUGGACGCAUCACUGGUGUUCGGGUUGUCAUGCCAAUGGCACUGCCCGGUAGCUAAAUGCGGAAGAGAUAAGUGCUGAAAGCAUCUAAGCACGAAACUUGCCCCGAGAUGAGUUCUCCCUGAGACUUUAAGUCUCCUGAAGGAACGUUGAAGACGACGACGUUGAUAGGCCGGGUGUGUAAGCGCAGCGAUGCGUUGAGCUAACCGGUACUAAUGAACCGUGAGGCUUAACCUU
Molecule: ribosomal RNA, 2900 nt
Filed under: Klebsiella pneumoniae
Lineage: Bacteria; Pseudomonadati; Pseudomonadota; Gammaproteobacteria; Enterobacterales; Enterobacteriaceae
Description: bacterial LSU rRNA
Rfam family: Bacterial large subunit ribosomal RNA
Source: RNAcentral